GCCGAAGUGGUGGAACUGGUAGACACGCCAUCUUGAGGGGGUGGUGGGCCAUGCCCGUGGGGGUUCGAGUCCCCCCUUCGGCACCA
RNAcentral lists this transfer RNA (86 nucleotides) under Solidesulfovibrio fructosivorans. It matches the Rfam family "tRNA". From Rfam's summary of the family: Transfer RNA (tRNA) molecules are approximately 80 nucleotides in length. RNAcentral also lists the same sequence under 14 other names. The record is from RNAcentral. Lineage: Bacteria; Pseudomonadati; Thermodesulfobacteriota; Desulfovibrionia; Desulfovibrionales; Desulfovibrionaceae.